Molecule: non-coding RNA, 315 nt
Organism: Danio rerio (zebrafish)
Lineage: Eukaryota; Metazoa; Chordata; Actinopteri; Cypriniformes; Danionidae
Source: Ensembl
CAGAUGCUCACUUCAUACGAGUACAUGACGGCGAAGAGUCCGCUCAUGAUGCAGCAGAAGAUGGUGACCAGCAGAGACUCCACCAGGCCAGAUGAGCCGUCUGGAUGCUGUCGGUGUCAUUGGCAGGACCGGCUGUGAAGAUGCUGACCGAGUCGUAUGCUGGGACGCUGGGUAAAAUCACUGCAUCUCUGUGUCCCGCUGCAUCAUGAUGAGGGUCCUGGAGGCCUGAAGAGCCCUGCGGUCUCGUAUCUCCAGCAGACGGGUUUAGACGAGCAGCUGCACAGGAGAAAUGCACAGAUGCAGGCUUGUGAAAAA